AUGGAGAACCAGUCAGGUCAAGCUCAGGACGGCAUGGCCGAUCAAAGAUUUCGCAGCUGGCUGACAGAACAAUUUAACACGCAGCCGUAUGCCGGCUCUUCUUCCAACUUAGCAGUAAUGCAGAUGCAGGUUCUGCCAUCUCACACAACUUCUCAGAUCAUAGACACACACCCACCUGAAUAUGAUGGCUACAACUGGAGAAUUUGUGGGCAGAAAGUAGUUCAGGGUGGGUGCCAUCAGAAAUUCUACUAUGAAUGUUCUCAAGCAAACUGCGGUGCCGAGAAAUCCGUGACACGCUCCGCAGAUGGACAGAUCAAGAAAACAGUAUGUAAGGGCAGUCACAACCAUCCACUCUCAUCAGAAAGGGUGUUUGGAGAAGGUUCAGCUACGCUGGAUGCAAUCCCUGUUGGUGAGAUAUUACAGGCAGCAGGGGUUAUCAGGCCUUCAGUUGCAAUGCCUAUGAAUGAGGAGGAAGAUGAGCUACAAUCUGGUUUGGGUGACAGCGAGGAAGAUGAUGCUAAUGAAGCAAGAGUUGAUGGUGACGGUGCUGCUGCUGAUGCCAAUGCAAUAGAAAGACAUGGUGCAGCUCAAGAUAUCACCGCUCAAACUGCAACUGAGGUUGAUGUUACGGGUAACGGCUGUCAGCAACGUAAGAAUUAUUGCCGAAGUGAAAAUAGAAGAUCAAAGUCCAAGGUAUGGAAGGAAUUUACAGCUGUGUUAAGUGUUGGAAAAAUUCAAAGUGCAGAAUGUAAGCAUUGUAAAAAGUGCCUUAGUGGAAAAAGUUCUGGAGGAACAAGCCACCUGCGUCGACAUCUAAAGAUAUGUCCUGGACAAUGCAGAGAUACUAGGAUACAGCAAAAAUGGUCAUCUUCAAGACUUGAUUCAUCUGAUGCAAAUAACUGGGAAUUUGAUCAGGAAACAUCUCUUGAGUUGCUUACAAGGGCUUUAGUCUCCAACCUUUGCCCGUUUUCAGUGACAACCAGUGCAAAUUUUAGGAAGUUUUUUGCUGGCAUCUGUCCUACAUAUAAUAUUGUGCCACAGGCUGCAAUUGAAGAGAACUAUGAAUAUGGUACUGAAAAGACUAACAAGGCUCUAAUAAAAGCAGCAGUCCAAGAUUGGAAUCUUGAGAAGAAGCUUUUAGGAAUUGCAUUGCCAACGAAUAUAGGUAAUGAAGUUAUAUUGGAUUUGGAGGAGACUAUGACAGCAGCAGGACAGAAUUUCCUUCUUGCUAAAUAUAAGUUAUUAAUUGUGCCUUGUAUGAUAAACGCGCUUCAUGGCUUGUUUGGUUAUACUCUUGAAAGAUACGUCCUGGAAGCAAGUCGGGAAUGGUUUGAGUACAUGACAUGCUCAGCAAUUCGUCUGGAAAAAUACAAGGAAAUUUUGUUGCGCCUGCACCUAAGCCAACCAUCUUUUGGUUCACAGAAAUGGCAUUUGACUUACUACUUAUUUGAGGCUGCUUUGCAGUUUGUAAAAGAAUUCCCAAACCCUGACGCGGCGCAUUUGAAAAUGUUUCUACGGAAACCAUUUCCUGAAAGACUAGAAGCAACAAAAAACUUUUGUGAUCUUGCAAGGCCAAUUUACCAUGCAAUUGAUGUACUUUCCAGACAGAACGUGGCUUUCAACUCACAUUUUCAU
This 1635-nucleotide long non-coding RNA is filed under the name Oryza sativa tropical japonica subgroup. RNAcentral describes it as "lncRNA OsCMeo_08g0006370". Lineage: Eukaryota; Viridiplantae; Streptophyta; Magnoliopsida; Poales; Poaceae. The record is from RNAcentral.